This 3274-nucleotide long non-coding RNA is filed under the name Helianthus annuus (common sunflower). Its description in RNAcentral is "hypothetical non coding rna". Lineage: Eukaryota; Viridiplantae; Streptophyta; Magnoliopsida; Asterales; Asteraceae. The record is from RNAcentral.
AUAAUAUACUUAUCUUGUGGGAUGAGCAAGAAACAUGGGGUGCAUAUAUCAUAUAUGUAAAGAGAUGAAUAUAAUCUUGGAUACUAAAUCUUAUGAGUUUAAGGAUCGAUAAUAAAAGGAAAUAUCAUGAAGUAAUGAAACUGACUCAAUCAAAUUGAAUUCAUGGGUGUGAUGUGUAUAUAUUGUAUCAGCCAGUGAUACGUUAUUUAAAAUAACAGUUUUGACGUAUGAUAACCAGUUCACUACAUCAUUUUUCAUGUGUAGCUGAUAUCACAUGGAAAAAUUGAUGUAAAUUUGUAUUUAUAUAAUUGUCUUGUGUAGUUGGUCGGCCCGAUUUUGGGUCAGCCUUUGUUUCUAAUGAAAGUUGCUGUUAAAAAAAUGUGUAGCAGAUAUCUUUAUUUGUUCGAGCUUGUUUGGUACUUUGUGCAAGUACCCCUUAACUAAUAAUUAAUUAACAGUUACGUUGAUUUUAGGAAUAACUAUUAGGGCAUGAACACAUACACAUAAACAUAUAUGAAUAGUGUAGUGUUAUGAUAAAUUUUUAUAAAUAAAUAAUUAAAUUAAUCAUUAAAAUACUAAAAUAACAAAGUACAAACUAACGGCAGCUAAACGGGCAACAAGCUGCGCCACAACCCCUUUUGAAUUGCAAAACCGAUUCAAAUAAAGACGGAGCGACUCUUAAGGGUCGAUAAAUUAUUAUUAACGACCCGCUGGACCCUGUUGAAGAAUUCCACGGCCCCUAGGGCUAGAGAACCAAAUGUUUUAAAAGCAAAUCAGAUAAAUACGUGCUGAUUCUCUAAACAACCUUUCUCUUGUAGUAAUUUUUUAGCUCUAUAUCAUUAAAGUUGUAAUAUGAUAUUAUCCUUUAUAUUAUGAAGAUUAUGUUUCGAUGAUAAACAUAUAAAACCAUUAUAUUUAAAAAUAACUAGCAUUAAGCACCCCCCACGUUACGGUGGGGCCACUAACACUGAACAUGCGACGUGUUAAUGCGAAUAACUUAGACCGAAAUGUAAAACAUAGAAAAGAAUAACUAAGUUGACAUAGGACUCGUGCGUUGCAACGAACCUAUCAAACUGGAAAAAAUAGACAACAUAAAAAUGUUGAACCGCACACACGUUACGGCGUGUUAAUUCGCGGAAUUUAAAACAGAACGUAAAACGGAAAAUUUGCGUAAGAUGGAAAAUAUAAGGGACCAAAGUUGAAAGUAAAAAAAUUGUGAGGUUAAAUUGCGAAAGACGGAAACUUUUGGGUUAAAAGUAAAAAAAUCAAAUAAGUUUGGAAUAAAGUGAAAAAUCAAUUUUUUUUUAAAUCCCCUAAGCAUUGAGUAAUCAGUAAACCCACUCAAUGCAUACAGUUGUUGGAAAUUUAUGAUAUGGAAAUGGUUUGUCAAAAAGUUAAUAUGUUAAUAUCUUUUAUAACUAUGAAAUAAACAAUUAUGAUACAAAGAGCAUAAAUUCUUUCGGAAAUCACAAUAUGAUGAAAAAUUAAUAUAUCAACAAACAAAAGAAUCGUUGGACCAUACCACCUAGUUUAAUCCACAUAUGACCUAAGAUCUUUAAACUAUUCGGCACGAGACACUAUUCGAACCAUAACUAAUCGCUUGUAAGCUUGAAUCGGAUAAAUUUGUCAUCCAUAGCUGUGGACCGCCAGAUUCCCCUUCAAUGUUAUAAGCAUACGAAGGCCAUCUGACGUUGUUUCCACAUGCGUGCGAAAUUCCUGUUUUGAUUAUCUUUUGAGUUCUCUCGAGAACCAAAAGACUAGAAAACGUGGAAUAACUAUUGCCCACAAAAACAUCGGCGUUUAAGCAAACUUCAUAGUCUAUCGCUGCUUGAAUUAGAUACGAAUGGUUCUUGUAAAUCUCAGUUAACCCUAAUCGCUUUUUGUCAACCGGAUGCAUACCCUCUUUCCAACCAUUCAAAAUUGAAUCAUCUUCAAGAAGCUCAUUAGCCACGGCGAGAUAAAGAGUCGUUGGUGGUUUUAGGGCGGGAAUAUUCGCUACUCUAGUUGUAAUCUCCUCUUUACUACUACAAAUGUUUGUUAAAUUUGAUCGUCGUUCUCGAUUUUUACAAUGUAUCAUCCAAUCUUUUUCGAUCCUCAUAUGGAUCGCUACAUAUGGUGUUUGAUACGAAGAAGAAGCGCUCUUUACUUCACUUCCAAACUCUCUAAUCUUCGCCACGACUUCAUUUGCUUCUUUUGAGAUUUCAUCUACUAAAACCAAACAUUCAAACACCUUUGCAUAAUCGCUAACGGGCCAAUGAUCAUGCCAUAGAAAAGGGUUCUUCCCAACUACUCGAAUAGUCUCAUACGCAUCAUAAUCUCGCUUGCUAAACUCUUUCAAUUGAUCAAGAUCUCUUUCAAGUGUCCAUCUCCUACCACUACCCUUUUGAACCUCGAUUACAUUGCUUCGAUUCCCAAUAUCGGAAUACCUACUCACGCGCACAAACCCAUCACAAAGAGAGUUAAACCUCUCAACGUUGAAGACUUUAUCGAACGAAAUAGGUUCCAAUCGAUCGAUUUCUUUGUAAAACAAAGACGCGCUUAAACUAGGCAUUAGAAGGGACCUAUUCAACAUUCGUGCGGUCAAACAAGCUCUUGCAAAGGCAAUCUUUUGAUUGUUUAAUCCCCAAACAAUUUGAGGCACCUCUAAGAACUUCAUUCUUACAUGAUUCCACUCGAAUUCGUUGUUUUUAAACCGACCAAAGGGAAACGGGCUAGGGAGUAAAAGAGUUCUAAAGAUCAAAACCAUAACAAACAAGAACACACAUAUGGAAACCAAAUAACUCACAUGACACUUGAAAAACUUCACAUGUUUCAACUUUAACAACUCCAUUAAAGAUUCAAAAAUGCUACAUAACUCAAAAACUCAUCUCAAUUGAAUAAUAUAACUUAAAAAAAUAAAAAAAAUAAAAAAAUAAAACAAUCUCUCACCUGUUCACCAUGUAGAAACCAUCAAAGUGAGCCCAAUUCGAUCUCGAACAAAUUCAAUUCAACGGAAUCGAUCAAUCUUUGAGCAUAUGUUUCUCUCAGGCAUUUAAACAAACACUUGCAAGGGUGUUUGUUGGACCUAAAAUUCGAUCAAAAAGCUCAAAUCUUUCCACCUAAUUUGGAUCAAAAUUAUUCAAAAACUCAAUAAUCAAGCUCAAUUUGAUGAACCCAGAACGGAUCAACCAAAAUCUUUAAAGAAUUAUGAGAAUUUCGGGUAGAAACAAAAAGGAAAAAACAGGGGAAACGACGAUCACGAGCCGUGCAUGAAGAGAAAAAUAAAGAAAAUGAU